This is a long non-coding RNA of Hippocampus comes (tiger tail seahorse), 1249 nucleotides long. RefSeq lists it as uncharacterized. NCBI's taxonomy places the organism in Eukaryota, Metazoa, Chordata, Actinopteri, Syngnathiformes, Syngnathidae. The transcript is spliced from 2 exons. The record is from RefSeq and is a predicted model, not a curated record.
UUAGUUUAGCAUGCUAGGGUGGUCUCUUUUUUUGGAUUAGUCUUUUGUGGUCAGGAUGUUAUUGCAGCAGGGAUGAGGAGUCCAAAUAAAGCCAAAGAGACAACUCAAGUAGAGUUAAAGCUGUGUCACAAACCAUUAUACGUCUGCAAAGCUAGUUCAUGAUAGCAGAUUAGCUCACGCGCAACAAUGUGGAAUUCUUUAACUUUGUUACUUAGUUACGUAGAAAAAUCGUGAGGGCAGCUCUUGUGUUCUGUAGAAAUGGCAAUGACUUGAGAUGUGGGGACAAACUUGGAAAAAAAAAAAAAAAAAAAAAAACGUUUUAUUCAUUUUCUGUCUUUGGAGUUAGUACCAGAUCCAAAACAAAAUGCUCCUUUGUUCAUUCCCCCCGCCCACCACCAAAAUCAUUUGAAGUCCUCACCUGCUGGACCACAGGUUCUCAAAGCUAUUCGAGUUGGCCAAAAAAAUGAAUCCAACUCAAAAAGUAAGGCAGUGUGAAAGGGGCUUCGCUCUUCACAGACACGGGUCACGAUACUCAAAUGAUAUUUUGUAAUCUUGUAACUAUUUCACAAUCGAGGCAAACAGGCAGUGAAAACAAUGCCCACCGUACAAAAAAAUAAGGUGGCUCAGAUAAUCCAGUUUUACAACGUGUUACAUGCAUCAUCAUCAUCAUUAUUAUUAUCAUAGUUCAAAAGGCAGGGUGUAUUGAGUGGUUGCAACCCCCUUACCCGUGCCACCCAUGCACACGGAGCACCAAGGGAAAUUGGCUGACACCCGCUGAAGAUGGCAGGGUUUCCCAAACUGAGAGUCCGUACAUUUCUUACACUAGGGGGAGCCGAUCAAUAUCGUCAUCUUAUUUCUUUCAUUCAUUCAUUUUCUGAUCCGCCUAUCCUCACGAGGGUCUCGGGGGUGCUGGAGCCUAUCCCAGCUGUCUUCGGGCAGUAGGCGGGGGACACCCUGAACUGGUUGCCAAUCAAUCGCAGUCAUCUUAUUUCAUUUAUCAGAAUCUGAAUAAAUUGAGCUUAUUACAGAAAAUUUGGUAAAAAUUGUCAAUUGAGCGAGGUGCUCAAUUGACAGUUUUUUGCUUUUAUGUGGGGAAGGGAAACUGUCUGGAGGGGCUUUUUUUAAUUCAACUUUCAGGAAACCUGGAAAUUUCCUUCCUGGGUAAUAUUUAGUAAAUCUCGCUAAUAAUUGCGGCUCCACUACUGAUCAACAAGUUUGGGAAACCCUGAGCUAAGGGAUUGAGAAGCGC